UCAAUAAGCGGAGGAAAAGAAACUAACAAGGAUUCCCCUAGUAACUGCGAGUGAAGCGGGAAAAGCUCAAAUUUAAAAUCUGGCGGUCUUUGGCCGUCCGAGUUGUAAUUUAGAGAAGCGUCUUCCGCGCCAGACCGUGCACAAGUCUCCUGGAAUGGAGCGUCAUAGAGGGUGAGAAUCCCGUCUUUGGCACGGACACCUGGUGCUUCUGUGAUGCGCUCUCGAAGAGUCGAGUUGUUUGGGAAUGCAGCUCAAAAUGGGUGGUGAACUCCAUCUAAAGCUAAAUAUUGGCGAGAGACCGAUAGCGAACAAGUACCGUGAGGGAAAGAUGAAAAGCACUUUGGAAAGAGAGUGAAACAGUACGUGAAAUUGUUGAAAGGGAAACGCUUGAAGUCAGUCGCGUCGACCGAGACUCAGCCUUGCCUCGGCUUGGUGUACUUCUCGGCUCGACGGGUCAGCAUCAAUUUUGCUCCUCGGAUAAUGGCAAGGGAAAGGUGGCACCUUUACGGGUGUGUUAUAGUCUCCUGUCGCAUGCGAGGGGUGGGAUUGAGGAACUCAGCACGCACCUUGGUGUCGGGGCUUCUGCCCACGUCACGUGCUUAGGAUGCUGGCGUAAUGGCUUUAAACGACCCGUCUUGAAACA
Molecule: ribosomal RNA, 643 nt
Filed under: Lactarius pallidus
Lineage: Eukaryota; Fungi; Basidiomycota; Agaricomycetes; Russulales; Russulaceae
Description: LSU rRNA
Rfam family: Eukaryotic large subunit ribosomal RNA
Source: RNAcentral